This 1244-nucleotide long non-coding RNA is filed under the name Setaria viridis. RNAcentral's name for it is "long non-coding RNA (SVIR_LNC008560)". The record is from RNAcentral. Lineage: Eukaryota; Viridiplantae; Streptophyta; Magnoliopsida; Poales; Poaceae.
CAAAAAAACAGAUUGCUCAACUAAAGCAUGACAUACUGGUGAUGCUUGUCGUCUUUGCUUCUCCUUCCACGCGUCGACGACGAGGAGGCGGUGGCCGGUGCCCGGAAGCCGAUGUUCUCGACGGCGCCGACGGUGUUGAAGAAGAGGCGGCGGUUGAGCUCCUCCACCAGCGUCCGGUGAAGCAGCUGGCUCCGCAUGUCCACCAUCGACCGGUUCCGCGUCAUCCUAUUAUUCCUCCUACCAUGGUGGUGGUGGUCGUCGUCGUCACGCCGCCGCGGCCGCCCGGCGUGCGGCGCCAGGCUGCACUGCCGCUGCAGCUGCCGCGCGAGCGACUGCUGCUGGGCCGUAUCUGCUCUCCCUGGGCUUCUGCUGCUCCUCUCUCCUGGGCUGAAUCUUGAUGCCUUUGCUGUGCAGGAGCUGGGCCCUACUACAUUCUCCUCUUCUUCAUUACCUGAGGCGUAAUGCAGAGCAGAGUACUUACCGGAAUGCAUGGAGCUCAUGUCAUCGUCGUCGCUUAAAGAAGUGUAGCAUCCGUAAUCUACACCAACAAAAUUUUGUCCAAAAUGCAAACGUGUCAAGGCUCAAUGGUGUGCUCUCCCCGUGAAGAUAUGAUGUACACUAGCACCGCAUACCAAAUUUUGGUAUGCAGCAAGCAACAACGAACCAGGAUAAGUACUAGAAAACUCAGAAAAUAAUUGUGAUGGUGUAGCCAAAACAGAAGCUCCAGUGCACUAGAGAUAAACACACAGGUGUCAUAUGUCUGUACUGUACAUAGCGACGCACCUAGAUGAUGGAUAACGAACCAGAACAGCCGUAGUAGUCAACAAUUUCCAGUCCAAAUUUUCGGUGCUUUGUGUCAAAGUGUCAUACCCGGUGCACGUACGCAUCCACACAGGUACGUACAAAAGUAGUUGGGCCGAGAUAUAUGCAUGACAUAAGCAUUUCAUGUGUAUGUUUGGAAGAAUUAUGGUCCGAAAUCAAUCAAAAGUUUAUUUAAAAAAAUCAAUCAAAAUUAAAGUAAGCACGAUGUUUUAAAACUGAAAAGAGAAAUGCUGAAACAUUUAAAAGAAUAAUCUUUUUAAUACCUUUGGACCAGCCACCGCCAUGUGUGCCGGAGAAGCCUCCCGAGGCGUAAGGCCCCACCCCGCAGAGAGAGCCUUGGGAGGAGGUGGGGGAAGAGGAGGGGUAGUAGAAGGGAGGAGGGCGCUCCUCGUUUCCGUCAUCGUCGUCGCCAUUUGCCGCGU